This 107-nucleotide small nuclear RNA is filed under the name Salvator merianae (Argentine black and white tegu). Lineage: Eukaryota; Metazoa; Chordata; Lepidosauria; Squamata; Teiidae. The record is from RNAcentral.
GUGCUUGCUUCUGCAGCAUAUAUACUAAAAUUGGAAUGACACAGAGGAGAUUAACAUCGUCCUUGUGUAAGGAUGGCAUGCAAAUUUGUGAAGCAUUGCAUAUUUUU